UCAGACUCCGCUCCGGACAAAUGAACCGAUGAAGCAUUGUUCGGAGC
Regulatory RNA element from Intestinimonas butyriciproducens, 47 nucleotides. It matches the Rfam family "uup RNA". NCBI's taxonomy places the organism in Bacteria, Bacillati, Bacillota, Clostridia, Eubacteriales. The record is from Rfam.